UUGGAGGGCAAGUCUGGUGCCAGCAGCCGCGGUAAUUCCAGCUCCAAUAGCGUAUAUUAAAGUUGUUGCAGUUAAAAAGCUCGUAGUUGAAUUUCGGGAUUGGCGCAUCGGUCAUGCCUUCCGACUUACGGAGUUAUGAACUGGUGCAGUCAAUUUCUCACCUUCUGGAGAACCGCGAUGUCCUUAAUUGGGUGCCGCGGGGAACCAGGACCUUUACUUUGAAAAAUUGAGUGUUUAAAGCAGGCAUUUUUGCUUGAAUACAUUAGCAUGGAAUAUAAAAUAGGACGGCAUGGUUCUAUUUUGUGGUCUCUAGGACCACCGUAAUGAUUAAUAGGGAUAGUUGGGGGCAUUAGUAUUC
RNAcentral lists this ribosomal RNA (358 nucleotides) under uncultured Entrophospora. Its description in RNAcentral is "SSU rRNA". It matches the Rfam family "Eukaryotic small subunit ribosomal RNA", at positions 548 to 899 of the family's 1831-position model. Lineage: Eukaryota; Fungi; Glomeromycota; Glomeromycetes; Entrophosporales; Entrophosporaceae. The record is from RNAcentral.